RNAcentral lists this long non-coding RNA (1053 nucleotides) under Macaca mulatta (Rhesus monkey). RNAcentral describes it as "lncRNA (ENSMMUG00000055472.1)". The record is from RNAcentral. Lineage: Eukaryota; Metazoa; Chordata; Mammalia; Primates; Cercopithecidae.
GGGAGAGCCCACAAGACAAACAGCAGAGGAUUUUCAGGUUGGUUUCAAGGGCAGCCAACUGGGCUGUGUAUAGGGAGUGGGAGGACAGGGGUGGUGUUGAUGGUCUUCCUUCCGAGGCUUCUCAAAUGUAAAUGCUCUUUUCUUAACAAGCUGACCCACUGCACACCAUGCCAUACUAAUGAGCAAUUCUGCUUGGUCAACAAAGGGUGCAAGAGGUUGUGGAAAACCCACAGUAGGGCUUACAUUUGGCUAUCACUAUGCCCUGCAUGUAGAUCUCAAAGCAUUGUGCCUAAAAGUCCUUACUGAGGUUUGGUAGGAAGGAUAUUAAACCAGAAUAACUUGAGAUACUAGCCAAAGUUUAUUUUUGUGGUUGGGAUUAUUUUGCUACAUUCGGACAGAGAGAAAUGCAUUUAGGCAGGCUGGCAUGAUUUGCGCUGGAUAUUUGACCAGGCAAUCAGAAGCAAGGAAAGGAAGAAAGCCAGGCAAGGGGGAAGGGGUGACAUCAAACGUGCCUUCUGUAUUUCGUUACAGAAAACAGCUCACAAUUAUGACUACCUGCCUUGUUUUGCAGCUCAGAAUAAAAGUGGUGUUGCACCAAACCCUACUGGAGCAGCCUUCGUGAUUAGAAAGUACUCCACACAUUGGAGAGCCGAGGAGACAUGAGAAUAAUUUUAAAUGCAAAUUAAAUUGAGGGGGUAGCAGAGAAGAACACAUAAAAGACAGUAAAACAAAACCUUUCAAUUUUCUUAAAUUAGCAGUCUAAUGUGUUCUAAAGAGCAGCUCCACUCAGAUCGCUUCUUAAGGGUUGCAUUUCAUCACAGUAUAAAUGGGCAAAUCCAUCACUUCCCUCUGCUCAGUGCUCUUAAAGCGAGAUUGAAGGGAAAAUUAGAAGCUGUUCAUUUGGGCUUGCGGGCUCAGAAGCGUCGCACUGCUUUGUUUUGUACUCUACCGUGUCCUGUUGAAAGGGGUCAACAAGUGCCGGGGAGGGUGCAGAGGCUGAGGCUGGCGUCACCUUCCGUUGCUAAGGUAACGUGCUCUGGCCAUUUUAUCUGA